This 469-nucleotide ribosomal RNA is filed under the name uncultured Burkholderiales bacterium. RNAcentral's name for it is "bacterial SSU rRNA". It matches the Rfam family "Bacterial small subunit ribosomal RNA", at positions 8 to 474 of the family's 1533-position model. The record is from RNAcentral. Lineage: Bacteria; Pseudomonadati; Pseudomonadota; Betaproteobacteria; Burkholderiales.
AGAGUUUGAUCCUGGCUCAGAUUGAACGCUGGCGGCAUGCUUUACACAUGCAAGUCGAACGGCAGCGCGGGGCAACCUGGCGGCGAGUGGCGAACGGGUGAGUAAUAUAUCGGAACGUACCCAGAAGUGGGGGAUAACGUAGCGAAAGUUACGCUAAUACCGCAUACGAUCUACGGAUGAAAGUGGGGGACCUUCGGGCCUCAUGCUUGUGGAGCGGCCGAUAUCUGAUUAGCUAGUUGGUGAGGUAAAGGCUCACCAAGGCAACGAUCAGUAGCUGGUCUGAGAGGACGACCAGCCACACUGGGACUGAGACACGGCCCAGACUCCUACGGGAGGCAGCAGUGGGGAAUUUUGGACAAUGGGCGCAAGCCUGAUCCAGCAAUGCCGCGUGAGUGAAGAAGGCCUUCGGGUUGUAAAGCUCUUUUGUCAGGGAAGAAACGGCUGAGGAUAAUACCUUCGGCUAAUGACG